AAAAAUGAUUUGUCAUCAUUUGCUGACAGGUAAACAAGAAAAAUAUGAAUUGUCAAUGAAUCAAGUUGGAGACAUUUCAAGCAAAUCUCUGAGAGAAUCAAUAUUAUGUCAAGGUUUAUUCCAUAUCUUCAUUAAUGAUCCAGAAAUACAGCGAGCAUCAGAGAAGACUGACAUAUAAAACAAAGGCAUUGAGAAGAGCUCUUCCUUAUGGAGCAAAAGAUGCUGGAGCACUUCAUUUCCUUGAGAAGAACUGCUGUGCCCGGAAACCCAAACAACGAGGCUGCGCCACAGAAACUGUCUCAUGUUCUUUCUGCUUAAGCUCUGAUGAUAUUGAUGACUUCUGACUCAAAGGGAACUAAAAGAAAAGCCUUUUCAUAUGUUGGAUUUGGCCACAAAGGAGGUGAAGGGUGUUUCCUUUCAGGCUACUGCUGCAGCCAGCAAAGAGGUACCAUGCAGCCCUGCUGUGUGCCCCUGCUUAAUCAGGUACUGCCCAUGGCAGCAAGGCUGUUCCAGUCCUGCACUGCCACGAUGCGGCGCUGCAUUAAUUCCCCACCGUCCUCUCCCGAYCGUCUGUCUUCCAUACUUUGGCUCACUGGCACCUACUUACUUCAGAGUUAGUGACAGCAAAUGGAAAGUGCCCAGGGAUAUUACUGCCACGUGAGCUACCAGGAACUGUAUCAUUAUAUGACACUGAGAAACCUUUAAAAAUAAGGAAUGAUACAUUUAUGAAAUGAUCUUGUUUCACAAAUUCAGGCUGCAAUCUCUCCAAAAUUAAAGUCUCUUUUGUGUCUAUCAUUUCACUGAACCGCUGGAAAUUUGUCCAGCUAAACUCAGCUUUAAUACUUUCCAUUGAACUGCCAAGUGAGCUUAUUUGAUCACAGUAAUCCUAUCUGAUGCAUUGUAUAUCAUCUGAUUAUGUUACUCACCCUGCCAAGSAGAGUCUGAUCUUGUCCUUCCUCCAAGCUUACAUCAGACCUGAGAGUGAUUCAGAAGGUACCACAGCACUGCACAUGGCUUCCCCUGCUCUCAGCGGGAGAUGGACAGCUGAGAGGCUGUCUGGAUACGGCUCAUAGCAGAUCACACAGGCUGAGAGUGCUGUAACAGGAAAAAGAAGUCUGUGAAAAUCAUUUUAUUGUUGUUUCACAAUUUGUUCUGUUUGCCUUUUACUUAUUGCAUGAAACUUAACUUCGCUGUUUUGCAGAUAGAACCGUUACCCAUUUUUCCCCUGCAUAGAUUUAUAAAUGUUGUGUGACCUCUUGUGGUAUAACAAAAUACUACACAUACAAUCCGUGAAUAACACAGUUUAUGUAACCUGCAAUCUACCUACAGCCAAUCUGCCCUGAUGGCUGGAUUUCUAUUAACUAAAGGCUACCCGGUGGCUAUGAAACUCUCAGUUAACAGUGAAUCACAAUGGAAAAAUCUCCCUCCAUGUCAAUCAUCCAGUGAGUGCAUGUAAUGUGGGUAACUCUUAAUUGUUAGCCAGAUUUAAAUGUCAUCAACUACAGUUAUUCCUAAACAUGCUUAUUUUUGAUGAGACAUUUGAUGAGACAUAAAGUUCCACAUUUAGCAAUAACAUACAGAUGCUGAUACUGAAAAUGUAGCUUCAUUCCUGUCAUUAACGAUAUUUGGCACUGAAGAAAUAAAGUAAUUAACAAGCCUCUUGUGUUUGCUUGC
This is a long non-coding RNA of Dromaius novaehollandiae (emu), 1674 nucleotides long. Lineage: Eukaryota; Metazoa; Chordata; Aves; Casuariiformes; Dromaiidae. The record is from Ensembl.